Molecule: non-coding RNA, 105 nt
Filed under: Clostridium colicanis DSM 13634
Lineage: Bacteria; Bacillati; Bacillota; Clostridia; Eubacteriales; Clostridiaceae
Description: Glycine riboswitch aptamer
Rfam family: Glycine riboswitch aptamer
About the family: This family represents the bacterial glycine riboswitch.
Source: Rfam by way of RNAcentral
GGACGAGCCUCUGGAGAGAUCCAUUUAAUUGGACACCGAAGGAGAAAAAUAGCUUGGCGCCAAAAUGCUAUUGAAACUCUCAGGUAAAAGGACAGAGGAAGGAAU